Molecule: long non-coding RNA, 10415 nt
Organism: Mus musculus (house mouse)
Lineage: Eukaryota; Metazoa; Chordata; Mammalia; Rodentia; Muridae
Gene: Mir670hg
Product: MIR670 host gene (non-protein coding)
Exons: 6
Source: RefSeq, marked validated
UACACUCAGAAAGCAACGCAUAUCAUUAGGGUGUGUCUAUAAAUAGACCCCAAUGUGUGUGCAUUGAGACUUAGUCCCUGGUCGGGGGUUUUCGAACGUGGGUGAUGAAUUCUGUGUUCUGAUCAGUUACUCAGGAGGCGCCCGAAUGUGAGGGGGUGGGAGUGUGGGAGGGGGCUGCCUCCUCUCUUCUCUUUCCCUCUGGCUGCUCUCCUCCCCUCUCCUCCCUCCUUCUCUCUCCCCCCUCCCUUCUUCCCUCCCCUCCCUUUUUCAGCAUCUCCCCUACCCUUUCUUUCUCUUCUCUCCCUCUCUCCCCUCCCUCUCUCCCCCUCCCGCUCUCUUCUCCCUCUCCCUACAAGUCUGGCACUGAAGGAGAACUGUUUUGCUUUGCUCCGGGAAGAGUGCAGACACGACGUGAAAUCCGGAGCUCUUUGCGUGGUGCAUUUAAAAUGCUUCCUUAUUUAUAUUACCCUCAUCCCCUCCCCUCUCCCACCCCCUCACCAGCCCUUCCAAAUUUCCCUAGAAAUCUGUGUAAAGCGUGGAGGGGAAAACAUUUGCAUAAAAAGUGAAGGAGCACGCCAAGGAGCACCAAAGACCAAGAGGAGACCAGAUGAGUUUUCAGAGCAGUUCUCAGACACCCAGGACGCAUGUCAUCCUUUGCCUCGUGCUUUCUGCAAUGUUGCUGCUCACCUUCAUCUUUCUAUUAACCCUCGCCAUAACAAUCCCCUCCUGACACCACCACCUCUUCUCCAUUAAUCACCCACUCAGCUCUCUCUGAGGUGUCUCUCCCAUGGGGCAUGGCUUUGUCUCUGGCAGGCUCCCCUUGAAUCAUAUCCAGAUGGCUACCAUUUACUUCCUUUUCCUCUGUCUCCUCUUCACACCAGACUCAGUUAACACUCAGUCCCUUGAUCAGGAAAACCGGAGAAAAAGUUCCCUUUUCUAAAAAGGAAGUCAGAGCGUGCUCUGCUGGAGCCACCAUGCUCAGGGAAGAGACCCAAAAUACAGCUGAGUGUGAUGUCAUUGAAACCAGAUGGAAAGACCAGAAAUCCCUUAAUCCCAGUCAGACCUAGUGAAGCUUUACUUGUGACUGUUGGGACUGAUUAAGAAUAUGGGGGCAGGGAGGAAGAGAGGGAGAAAGAUGUUCUGAAUUGGAUUGCCCUUCAAUACAGAAUGGAAUCCCCUAGUUUUUUUGUCCUCCAAUUAAAUGUGCAUUUCAUUCUACCACAUUGUGAUGGCUUCACUGUAGAUGUUUCCUCUGGAGACCCAAGGCUUUUUUUCUUCAUGGGUCACAAGACCACAAGCCACCAGAUGAUGAGGUAAGUGACAGUGUCUGGGGUCCUUUGUAAUGACCUCAGAAAUCCAGUGCUGAUGAAAACCCACCUUAGGAGACAGCAAGGUUUGUCCCCUGUUCAGUCCCUCUUGACUUGAGCCCUUGCAGGGAACCCCAGAACAGCGAGGAAUUUUAGUGGGGCUCCACACCACUCUGGGAAGCAAAGCUGAUGCUGAAGAUUGGUUACAUCAGAAGUUGGGAAUGUCAUUGAAUCUCUCUCUCUCUCUCUCUCUCUCUCUCUCUCUCUCUCUCUCUCUCUCUUAAAAAAAUCAGACAGGCCUUACUGGCACAUUCCUAUAAGCCCAACUACAUGGGAAACUGAGGCACAAAGAUUGUCAUUUCAAGACCUACCUGGGCAACAGAAUGAGUUUAGGGCCAGCCCAGGUGACUUAGUAAGACAUAUCUCAGAAUAAAAUAAAAAAAAAGCUGAGCCUACAGCUCAGUGGUGAAGAACUUGUGUAGUAUGUGUGAGACCCUGGGUUCUCUCCUCAAUACUCAGACAAAACAUAAAUGUAGUCCCUCCUUUUUUUCCAUAUUUAGGAAUAACAUAGAAUUAUUACCAAGUACUAUCAAUGAGAUACUAGGGGUUUUUAUAUGUAAGCCGAGUCUCCCUUCUUAACAACAUAAUUCAAAAUGAAUUCAUUAAUCAAUAGAUACCUUUAAAAAAUCAAUAGAUACUUGCCAAGAAGUGCAAACAUGAGUCAGGUAUGUUAGCCAGUGCUUCCUCUGUGUUUCACAGCAUAGAUCUAUGGGAUGAGAACUACAGAAGCACAAGCCACAUUCCCUAUUAUUGGCCUAUCAGACUUAAGCUACUAGAUCAACAGACAAUGGCAAUGAUGACUUAUGGGUAGAGUGUUCUGCUAAUUUUGAUCCACUAAAGCCUCAUUAGUUCGUGAUAGUACUGACUCUGCCUCCUGAGUUCUGGGAGAUAGAUCACUGUCCAUCACAAGCUAAACCCCCCACAAUUGUCUCUAAGCAUCCCUUGGGUCAUUCUUUUCUUCCUGUGGUCUGUGCCUCUGAAGCUCUUGCUACUUGGCCUCUAUAGUGUGCUGGCUUCCUGAGCGCCACCCCCCACCCCAGCUUCUGCUCCCUAUCUUUAUGCUUGCUCUGGCUUCAUCUCUGCUUAGAUCCUCAGAUGCUCACCAUGAAACCUACUGUAGAUAUUCCUGGAUCCCCCUCUGCUCCUCAUUUUGCAAUGUGUGCCUUCAGUGACAAGUUUUGGGAAACCCUAUCUGGUUCUCAGGGAGCCUUGUAGUCAGAAUUAGCUAGGGUGGGGAGGAGCUUGCUUCUAGACAGUGGAGGUAUGUGCAGAUACUGUCUUAACUUUUCUGGGUUGAAUGAUGCUAAAUACUUUAUGUGACUAGAAAACUGAGAGAAUAUUACUAUUGGUAACAAAAAAAAAAAAAAGGGCAGGUCAGGAGGCAGGGAAUUGCAGUCAUUUUCCCCCAGCAUCCAAGUAAGUGAUCCUUAGACCAUUCACCCUCAAACCUUCAAAUGCAUUGGCUUCUGAGAAAUGUCUCCCAUGGCUUGAAUAUACCUUUUGACCAGGUUAAGUGAUGAAAACACGUAUUUAAAUAAGGGAAGAAGAUGGUGAAAUAGCAUUUAUUAUGUAUGCUAUGGCUUAUCCCCUCUGCCCCAUACUGGGCUAAUAGCUCAGUCUCUACCUUCUUUGGAAUCAGAAAAAAUAAUCAGGGAGGCCAGUUUCUAAAGGAGAAAAAGGGAGCUGGGAUGACUAGUCAACUAAGGGUCUCAUCCAAGACGGCUCUCUUAGAAGACGUUUCCCACCUUCCCCAGGUACCACCCAAGUGGCUUGUUUCUUUCAGUGUAGAGACAUAAAUGCAGGAGUCUGGAUGGGAUGGGAAAUUAAAUAGGUCUCCAUCUACUUUGUUUUAGACAACCCUUGGAGUCUGGGCUGAAUUUUCAAUAAGAAAAUUGAUAACUAAUGAUUUGGGAAUGAUCUGUUUACUCCAUGAUCCUAUAAGGAAGGUGUCAAUAUUAUAACACGCAUAGUGUUUCUGUAAGGAUUAAAUACCAUCAUUUCUGUUUAAGCACCCAUUACAGUGUCUGGUGUAUAGUUGGUACUUAAAGCUAUCAUCUUUCCCUGGGUUUUCUGAGACCUGCAUUUUUCUCUCUUGUUCCAUAUACAGUAUUUUACCUACUGGUGUUUCCCUUGGUGUUUGAAAAGGAGAGAAGAGACCCAGACAGGGUAUUUUCUGGCUUCACUGAUCCUGAAAGAGAGGAAAGUCGGUUCUUCUCAAGGGCUACCUAACAGACAGUUACUCUUGCAUGUUUUCUGAGAGGAGCAUCGGGGGAAUGGAGCCCGAGUCAUGCUGAUGAUCCCAGAGAUGGGUUGAAAAUGCAGAGCGUGGUUUUCAUCUUGGACAGGUUCCAUGUCAGUCUAUUAAUUCCCUGAGUCCUUAGUUUGACUGCUUUGAUGGGAAUUGGGCACCAGAGCCCUUAACAAGGAAUGAUGAGACAUCGGGGAAAGGCAAGGUCACCCAUCCAACUCAGGCAUGCACCAGAGAACCUGACUGAAGGAAAGAGAACAUGGAGAAGCGGGGGUUGUAGAGGGCUGACUCUCUGCAAUGGUGUGUGCUGUUGUUUCCUGCUCAGGCAAUCUAACCAGUCAGUCUUGUGACUGCAGCACGUGAUAACAAGGCAGAGAGUCACUCUCUUCUGGGAGAGAAAGCAGAGCCCCUGACCCCACCAGGUGACCCCAGUUAGGUUCUGCUUUUCUGCUGCUAUCCCCAAAGUUGUAAUGGGCCUGGCCUAAGAACAUUUCAGCCAUCCUCAACCUGGUAUUAUUCAGGAUUUCCUUAGAAAUACUGGGAAUCAUGAGUUUUCUGUGGUUUCAAAUCAAGCAUGGUAGCAUACCACCACCAAACAGAGAAUAGAGAACACAAUACUAUUCUAAAUUGUAUCUUUGCUAUAAAGUGUGUGCCAUCUAUGUAGAAACCUUACAUUUUCUGUGAAUGAGCCUAAUCUUUGCUUAUAUCUUGUGUCUAAAAACACAUCUAUCUGCCCUUAGAGAUACACGUAGCCAGACAUUUUUAUUAAUCCAAGAAUCCUUCAUUGAAAUACUGCCUGCCAUUUCGUGUCUGCUUGGUCACAUCUGAUAACCCCAUGUGAUAAGCCAUCCCCAGUACAAGAACCAGGGCCACUGCUGUCCCUUCUCUCAUUGAUGCUUCUUCUGGCUGCACACCAGUCCACUGCAGCAACAUUCUCACAUGCAUACAUACAUGCAUGCAUUCAGAGAGCUAAAAAUAAACAGCUGCUGAUGGGCUGCCGGAGGGUGUCCUCCGAGUGGAGCAGAUGUCCUCUGUCCCUCUCAAGCAGGCAAGCUUAAGCCACAGACAAAAAACGGAAGGUACUUCAGGAGUCUAAACUUAAACAGAAACCUUGGAAUACAGCUUACAAAGGUUCUGAGGGCCUGGGGAGGGUAUAAUAGCCUGAGUCUCAUGACCCUUCUUUUCCAGACCAUGUAGCCCAAAUCCUCUUGGUGACCUCUGGAUAAUUGUUUAUCAGCAUCCAACACAAGCGCAGUAAAGGAAAUCUGAUAGUUAGGGUUAUGAAAGGAAAUGGUUCGUGCCCGAAAUAUCUGUGUGUAGCCUCUGACUUCCUAAUUUUUCCCAUUCUGAAGCAAAGAUCAUUCCAGAGAGAUCCAGUGCUGUGUGCACCUGAGGAGGGGAAUCUGUGUGUCAUUUGUGCAGAUCUUCCCAUUUGUAAGAAUUCCUUCCAUCUCCAUCGAUCAAGAAACCCUUUGUUAUGCUGAGGUGUGGCAUAUCUUCUGAAACCACCCCAUUCAGGCACACACUCUGAUACACAGAUUAUCAUGAAACAAGGGCUAUUCCGACUGGUUUGAAAAUAAUGCCCAUCAUUGAGCUCAUUUUUGUGGGUCAUUCUUUUAAGAAGAAAAAAAACCUGCUGGUAUUUAAGAGUAAAGGUUCUGGCUUUAAAUAGGCCUGAUAAUGUAGCUAGAGACAGCACCUGCAGCCUUUGUUGAAUUUCUUCUGCCUCAUAUGGAGGGAAAGUUGCAUAUUCACCAAUAGCCUGCUAUUUGUAGGGGUGGAUUCCCUCUUUAGAAGCAAGGAGGAAAAGUGCAAAAGCAAGCUCGGGUCCUCCCCUCUAGGCAUUCCCAUCACCAGCAUCCCAAAGAGCUGCUGGUCAUUGGUGAAAGUGUGUGCCGGUGUGUGUGUGUGUGUGUGUGUGUGUGUGUGUGUGUGUGUGUGUGUGUGUGUGUUUUGCGCACGAGAGGUCAAUUUCAGGCUUAUCUGUCCCUGUACUGUGUCUGCCUGACUCUCUGUAACUCAGAUCCUUGCUCUCUGGGAAGCAGUAGCUAGAUGAUUCCGUGGGAGACCAAGCAGGAUGCGUGGGCGCAGGAAAAAGAAGAGGAGAAAGAAAGGGGAGGGGGAAGGGAUCUCGAGAGCUGGAGAGAGGCGGGGGAGCCGUGAAUCUGUUAUUUGCGUCACUCGAAGAGCCGGGGCUAUCUGGCCAACAAACUGAGAAUUAAUCCGAGUUAUAGCCGUAGCCUGCUCGGUUACUGUGGCCAGAUGCGAAAGGGCGGGGAAGGCACACACUCAGGAGUCUGUGCACCGAGUUUGCAAUGAGCUGUUGGGUGUUUGGGGAGGGGGUAGUCCAGAUCGGCACGCCCCUCGGGGGCCCUCAGCACGGUCUGUGCCUCUUUUGCUGAUGGCCAGCCCAAGCCUGGGGUGGCGCCCACCUCGGCUGCCUCGCCUGCUCAGUGGCUGCGCUGAACACAAAGCACUGUCUCUGAGCAGAAGCCUCUUCUAGAUUGAACCAGACCCACCAAAGAGGAGAAUCUGCACGUGACGUCAGCAGCUGAUGACUGACGCAGGCAGGCAAAGGAGACUCGAGGCGGCUGCUCCGCGCUGUCUUCAUGAGUCUAUUUUCUCCAUCCUCCUCAUAGUGAAAUACUAGAACGCAACACACACACACACACACACACACACACACACACACGUGCAGCUUUUAAAAUUUACAUUCCCAAAGGCGGUGUGUUGCAAACACCAAGAGAUUUUGCAAAGCGAGUAUGGAGAAUGUGGGAAGGGAGUUCCCGCUUGGGUAAGUAAUAUUAUGUCAUGUGCAUGCCGCAGACUGUAAGUACAAGCCGAUGCUUACUUUGUGCAUGCUCAGGAUGCAUCCUUGGCUGCCUUUUUGCCCUUUGCUAAGUGGGAGAAUGAGACUGAGGGGGGUGGGGGAGGGUGUAACUCUGUGUGUGUGUGGAUGUGUGUAUAUAAUGAAUUGGGGGCUGCAUGCAAAGGAACCGAGAAGGAAUUCUUGCAGAGUUGGGAAUCACCCUGACAAAUUUGAAUCAAUAGCAGCUGCAACGCACUCCCUCGUUAUGAGUCGGCGCUGUUGAGCUGGGUUCUCUCUACUGCCCUCUCCCCUCCGUAUUUUCUCUGUCUUAAAGGGUGGCCCGACACAAUUUAAUGGCCCAUUUCAAUGCGAGAUUAAUGGAGACUGUGGAAUGUAAACCAGAAUUGCAUGGGAUAAAGGGAAUAAAAAGAGAGGGUGUGAUCAUCGGCACCUAGACAGUGGUCCUGACUGAUCCAGCCCUUGGUAGCUGUCCACGGAUAUAGGUGCUGAAAAUUCCUUGGUCCGCAGCAAGUUCAGUUCUGAGCGCCAGGGGGCAGGAUUGGCUCCAGCAGAAGCUAGCCCCGCCCUGGAUGCAAAACAAGAUCCGGAAUGGAGGGGGUUAAGGAUGUUCAAAGGGGAUAGUCGUGACUUCGGUGAGAGCUUUGGGAAAAGGAGGGGUGAGUGGGAAGGGAAGGGAAAAAAAAUUAAAGGAGAGGGAGCAAAGUGUUAGAUUCAAGGAUGAGCUAAGGCCGUGCGCUCCAGGAACCCAAGACCAAAGUCGGAGGCUCACCAUCUUCUCCUGCAGAGGCUGGCAACUGUCUGGGUCUCCAGCCUCAGGCUCCACCACCUUCCCGCCAGUGGAUUUGAAAUAUUUCUCCCUGAUGAUGAUUCUCAAAAUAAGAGGCUAUAGGUUGCUUUAUUUCGACCCUGAUCCCCUCCCACUUCGUGCCCUCUCACACACCCACAUUCUGCAAUUCCUGGGAGGGGUUUAAGGGCAUAUGUUAUGUCACUUACUAUUCCCACGUCCUUUGCAUCCUAGUUACAGAAUCUCUAAAUCACUUACUGGAAUGGGAGUAUCACAAGCCAAAGGACCGGAGUUCCUGGUGCUAUCUAUGCAGAGACUCCAGGCUUUCCUCUAAGGCAAUGUUACAAACCACUAUCAGGAGGAAAUAGGGAGGAUUGUUCUCAAGGUUGACAAAUGUUAAUGGGAAGACCACCAGCUCCCUAUGGGUGAGUUGUGAAUGAGAUUCAUUGCAAUCAGCUUCAGAUACUUGGGCAAAACCUUAGCCAGACAGGUGAGAAAAGAGAAUGUCAUGGUGCGGGGGGGGGGGGCAGGUAACACACACAGAAACAUUCAUACUGAUUAACGCCUCGGAGCAGGGUAAUAGUGCAUCUUUAAACUGACCCACAAGAGUACACGAUGGGGAAAACAAAGCACUCUUGCAGUCUGUAAUAAGGUUACGUGCACACAGGAACAUCGAGAUCUUUGAGGAGGGGGGCACAGGAUAGCGAGAGGAGACUAGCUAGCUCUUCUAUCUACCUGGAAGCGGCCCGCCUUGAGUGAGGGACCUGCACAGGGCAACCGGAUUGCAGUCCCUGGAGGGAAAAGAGGGUGGUGAGUCGAGUUAAUUUUAGCUCAGAAGCGGUCCCUUCCUGGGCAGAUUUCCUCGCUGAGGCUGAGGCUGAGGCUGAGACUUCAACUCCUAAUAGUAACAAGGGCUGUUCCUGAGGUGCAGAAUUACCAAAUAACGCUGCAACCCACACUUUGUCUUGACAACCCAAGUUUAAAGCAAAGCUGCUGCUAGUAGUCUCAUGUCCCACCCCUAGGCUUCCUCUUCAUUCAAGGGGUAGAUAUGCCAGUUCCCUUUCCCAAGCCUCGCCCCUCUCAGCCCCACAAGUUGUGGUGUUUACAAAUUCUGCCUCAUUUGCAAAGGAAAUUGCCAGGAGAGGAAGGGGGCAAUAAGGCACCUGCAACACGUGGAGCCGUGGCAGUGGGGUUUCCGAGAGUCAUAAAGUGGGGGGGGGGGCACUCCGUGUCCUUAUGUCCCUCCAGCCCUCUGCCCUUGCGGUUUUCACUGCCUGGCACAAUGCACAAGUUUACCCCCCCCCCCCCAACUGGAUCCUAUUAAAUAAUUCAAUGGUAGCGGUGCAAUUUUGGUUGGAACCAGCACGGAUUCCCAAGUCGUGACUGCAAAAAGUGAGUAAUGCGCGCUGGCUGCGUCAUGGCUCUAGUCACACUUCAUUCCGAACUGAGAAGGAAUCGUGACUUCGCCUGGAGACGUCCCCUACAUGGAGUUGGGGGGGUGCAAACCAGGGGUGAACGGGGGUGGGGGGAAGACCUAUCCAAUGAAAACCUCUGCCAGGGGGUGUUGCAUUUGAACUCCACUGCGCGCAGUGCUGCUGUCCCCUCUCUGCCCGUUGCACACCCGCCCCUCUCCGGGCCAGCGCUCUCUGCCGCGCUGGCUUGCCUCUCCGGCUCCCCAACGAGUCCUCAACAAGUUGGAGGGAGGCAGGAGCGCACGGGUUAAACUCGGGAAGCUGCAAUUAUCAAGAUCGUGACCCUCCCACACAGUACAGUAACUUAUAUACUUACCUGGAAGAGCCCGCUUUGCCGCUGGGCAAACACCCAUGGGGGUUGGGGAGGGGCAGGAGGGGAGCGGGCUGGCCAGAGAGGGCUGCUUCCAGACCGCUGCAGAGCACACCGAACCAAUGCACUCCCAAGACCCCCGGACUCAGGUGGUCAAGCCCGUCCUGAUACUGAAUGGUACAGUGAGGAGUGGCCACCCAAGGGAGGCAGUCUCGGAGGUCACAGGAGCUGAUAAGCCUGGAUGAAAGAUCACAGGAGUUCCAGGAUUGCUGGUCCAUCCCUGCUAAGAAUGCCGAUCAUAAAGAUAGGCUGAGGCGUUGAUGUAGAGACCUCAAGACUCUCCCCUCUGUCGCACUGGCCGCUUGGAAACUUCCUGACCCGGCCCAGUUGUUCACUGACUUUCAGGAAGGCACCUCUGGAAGGUUGUGAAGUCUACUUGUUAAAAAAGAACCGUGUGCUUACGUUUGACCAGGAUGAAGGGAGCUGGACAUUAUGCUGAGUCACACUUUCAAGCAGCUACCUGACAAACAGGCCAAUCCCACUGAGCAGGGGUGGGGUGGGGGGGGAGGGGAAGGGGUGGCUCAUCCUUCACUCUGAAGUCAGCAAACGUGGUCCCAGCUGGAAGACAGCAGGCUUCUCAACAUAUCUAUAAUUCACUUGCCGUCUCUCUGAAUAUUACACACCAAACAUGAUACUCAUUCUUCACAAUGAUCCCAUGGAGUGAACCUUGCCAAGCCCGUAUCACAGAUGAAGACACUGAGACUGCCAAAGCCUUUGAUACUCCUUCAAGGACCCACAGUUAGAAAGUAGAAGAGAUUCAGAUUCUCCUCAGACUCAUUUUAGUUCUUCAGUCUGAAGUGCAGCUAAUAAUAGCAUCAUAAUUGGCACAUGGGUGGGCACUCUGGUGGUCGAAGGAGACGUUAUUUGUAAGGUGCCAACGUCAUAUACAGCUGCCCAGUGUUCUAGUUGUUACAAUGAAGAAUGGGACAAACAAAAACAAAAACAAAAAUGAAACCCAGGGCAAGAUAGGAGAAAAGGACUCUGAGACGCCUGUGAACCAGAGCUGAUCAGAUCUAGUAAAGCAACUUACAACUUCCUAAUGUAUUUUCUUGACCAUGAGCCGUGGAAUAUUAGAAAUACUGUGCUCAAAUUUUAUAGGCUUAUAUUUAAAACAAACAGAGGAAAAAAAAAAAAAAACAGUAAGAGGCCUUUGAGUGCCAUAGACCUGUCUUAGAAGUUGCAUCCAAUUCCAGGGUUAGAGGCACAAAGCUAAAAUUUCCUUUCCUGGACUGGUAGCCAAGUGAAGUGAGCCCCUUAAAUUGCUGUGAAAUAGCCUGCUCUCAGCAAGGUUCUCUUGCCACUGGGACUUGUUCGCAAUUCUCCUGUGUCAGAGGGGAGUCUGGA